AGGGGCAGCGGGAUUGAAGCUUGCUUCAAUGCCGGCGACCGGCGCGACGGGUGAGUAACGCGUAUCCAACCUUCCGUACACUCAGGGAUAGCCUUUCGAAAGAAAGAUUAAUACCUGAUGGUAUGAUGAGAUUGCAUGAUAGCAUCAUUAAAGAUUUAUCGGUGUACGAUGGGGAUGCGUUCCAUUAGGUAGUAGGCGGGGUAACGGCCCACCUAGCCAACGAUGGAUAGGGGUUCUGAGAGGAAGGUCCCCCACAUUGGAACUGAGACACGGUCCAAACUCCUACGGGAGGCAGCAGUGAGGAAUAUUGGUCAAUGGACGAGAGUCUGAACCAGCCAAGUAGCGUGAAGGAUGAAGGUCCUACGGAUUGUAAACUUCUUUUAUAAGGGAAUAAACCCUCCCACGUGUGGGAGCUUGUAUGUACCUUAUGAAUAAGCAUCGGCUAACUCCGUG
RNAcentral lists this ribosomal RNA (453 nucleotides) under uncultured bacterium. RNAcentral describes it as "bacterial SSU rRNA". It matches the Rfam family "Bacterial small subunit ribosomal RNA", at positions 65 to 507 of the family's 1533-position model. The record is from RNAcentral.